ACUCCUACGGGAGGCAGCAGUAGGGAAUCUUCCACAAUGGGCGCAAGCCUGAUGGAGCAACACCGCGUGAGUGAAGAAGGGUUUCGGCUCGUAAAGCUCUGCUGUUAAAGAAGAACACGUAUGAGAGUAACUGUUCAUACGUUGACGGUAUUUAACCAGAAAGUCACGGCUAACUACGUGCCAGCAGCCGCGGUAAUACGUAGGUGGCAAGCGUUAUCCGGAUUUAUUGGGCGUAAAGAGAGUGCAGGCGGUUUUCUAAGUCUGAUGUGAAAGCCUUCGGCUUAACCGGAGAAGUGCAUCGGAAACUGGAUAACUUGAGUGCAGAAGAGGGUAGUGGAACUCCAUGUGUAGCGGUGGAAUGCGUAGAUAUAUGGAAGAACACCAGUGGCGAAGGCGGCUACCUGGUCUGCAACUGACGCUGAGACUCGAAAGCAUGGGUAGCGAACAGGAUUAGAUACCCUGGUAGGAUAGCG
Molecule: ribosomal RNA, 473 nt
Filed under: uncultured bacterium
Lineage: Bacteria
Description: bacterial SSU rRNA
Rfam family: Bacterial small subunit ribosomal RNA
Source: RNAcentral